UACGAGGGGUGCUAGCGUUAUUCGGAAUUACUGGGCGUAAAGGGUGUGUAGACGGCACGUUAAGUCUGUUGUUAAAUCCUCCGGCCUAACCGGGGAAUCGCAAUGGAAACUGGCGAGCUAGAGGGUGAGAGAGAGAAGUGGAAUUCUCGGAGUAGCGGUAAAAUGCGUAGAUAUCGAGAGGAACACCAAUGGCGAAGGCAGCUUCUUGGCUCAUUACUGACGUUGAAACACGAAAGCGUGGGGAGCAAACAGG
Molecule: ribosomal RNA, 253 nt
Filed under: uncultured bacterium
Lineage: Bacteria
Description: partial 16S ribosomal RNA
Rfam family: Bacterial small subunit ribosomal RNA
Source: RNAcentral